GAGUGUUUUACAAAUUACUAUUUAUUAUUAAUAAGAAGGGCCUUUUGUUGCGUUUGCUACUUUGUGUUUCUAAGUUUAAAAAGCAAACAUGGAUUUUACGUAUCAAGAACAAGCUGAUAUUCACAUUAUGUUUGGAAGAGCAUUUGGUAAUUGUGUUGAAGCAAGACGAUUAUAUCAUGAGGCAUUUCCUAAUCGACGAGUGCCACACCGUACGGUUUUCGCAAGAGUAGAUCGUAAUUUAAGGGAAACAGGAACAUUUCAAAGACAGGAAGUUGUUGGGCGACCAAGAAAUGCCAGAACCCUAGCAUUAGAAGAACGCGUGCUAGAUCGUAUUGAAGAAGAUCCAUCUUUGAGCACUCGCAUCAUCGCAAAUCAAGAAGGGUCCUCUCAGUCAACCGUAUGGAGAAUUUUGCACGAUAUGUUACUCUACCCUUAUCAUAUUUAACGGGUUCAGGCUUUGGAAGAGCGAGAUUUCCUUCCUCGUGUACACUUCUGUAAUUGGCUAGAUGAAAACCGCGUUGCUUUUGAAAAUUUUGAGAAGAAAAUUUAAUUUACUGACGAGGCCGGCUUCACAAGAAACGGAAUUUUCAAUUUCCACAACAACCACCUAUGGACGGAUGAGAAUCCCCAUGCUACGGUACAGAAGGCAUAUCAGCAGCAGUUUAGUUUAAAUGUGUGGGCGGGAAUAAUCGAUGGGCAUUUAAAAGGACCUGAAGGCAGAUUCUCAAUCAUCUUCUCGAGACGUGACGUCUCGAGUUGCUACGAAAUGCGAUUCCCGAUCCAUUUCGUUCUCGCUAGCGAGUCGGGAUCUGUCGAGUUCAUCUGUCAUUUUCGCUCGGGACCUAAGAAGCUGCCAAGAAUGGUAAACGAAGCGAUCUAUUGGUCGAAAAAUCUCCCAUUUAUUUUUUCCGUUGUGUGUGUCUAUCUCUAUCGGAUCGGACAUCGACAAUCAGUUGCAUAGAGAAAUGAAUAUUAAAUAUACUUUUAAUUACUCUAUGAUCCGUUGUUGGUUCAUGUUCUUGAGCUUGAGUUUGAAUUUUUGAUAUUUUGAUUUUUUGUUUGGGAGUAGAAGUACAGAUUAUUUCCAAAUAUUUUUUAAGUUUUAAAUCGAUCCGCACCUUAGGCAGCGUGCAGUUGGAGAAUCCGGUAAGUUGUUUGUUUAUUUAUGCAUAUUAUUAUAGAUUUGUUUUUUUUAAAUUACCGUACUUUAAUUUUACUUUAAAUUUACUAAUUUAAAGUAAAUUUUAUCUACUUUAAAUUAGGAGCCUGCCAUAUAAUAAUAUUUAUUAAACAGGUACCUAGGAACAAUGCAAAUACAGCAUGUAGAAGUUUUGGCAGAGUUUAUGGAAGACAACCCUGAAUUUGCAAGGGGUAGACUUUCUGCCUCGAAUGCUAGGGAGAAGUUCAAGCCACUGUGGGGAAAUUUAACCACCAGGUUAAAUCCCUUAGGACUUGGUGUUAGAGAUGUGGAAAAGUGGCAAAAAACAUGGUCUGAUUACAAAAGUAAUUUUAAAAAAAGCUGCCGAAAUAAAAAGGUAUCAAGAAGGCACAGGUGUUGGUCCAGCAACCCGUAAUACUUUGUCAGAUUUAGAACAGAGAAUCCUUAACAUUCUGGGCACUAUGUUUUAUGCAGGGAUUGGUGCGGAGGAAAGAGGUGUAAGUAUUUUAAUUGAUUAGGUAUUUUUUUCUCUGCAAAAUAGACCAAUCAUAAACAAGCAAAUGGUUUUUGUUAAAUUACUGUGUUUUACUUUUGUUUAAAUAAAAUUCUUGUUAAUUAAUUAACUGUUUUAUAUUGCAAUUUUCAGAUAAAUGUUAGCAUAUCAGGAUCCUCAACAGCUUGUACCACAAUCUCAAAGCAAUCUAUUACUGAAAUAGAGAAUAAUAAUAAUUAUGAUGCUCAACAGCAGCAUUCUACUUCUGCUGCUAAAAGGGGUAAGGAAAGUGAAGGUCCAUGUGAGCAAGCAUGCCCUAGGCAAGACCAAGACCAUGAUUACUUAUUCUUUAGGAAUAAUAGUGAACCUCCCCCUAAAAAAAAGAAAAAAAGUAAGGACCCAAUGGAAGCAUAUGAAGAAACCAUAGAAUGCCUAAAAAGCAUUGAAAACACUUUCAAAUGUGGUCUUUCAGAAAUAAAUUUGACUUUGAAGGAAGGCUUUCAAUCUUUAAGUAAAAGGAAUAAUGACUUACCAUAAAAAAUAAACACAACCAUUAUUUGGUAAUAUAUUAGGUAUACAAAAUUUUUUAAUUUAGUAUAAGUUUUGUGACCAGAGUGAAAUUUUUUUAUGAUUUUUGUUCUAUUCCUAUUUUUUAUUUAUUUUUUAAGAGUUUAGUUAUUAAUUGUUUGAGUUCCUAUCUUGGUUUGUAUUUAUUUAUGUUAUUUAAGUUUGAGUCUCAAUUAUCUUUUUGUUGACUUAAUUAUUAAAUUGUUUUUUUAUAUUUUUAUUGUUUUAAUUAAUUAAUAUUAUUGCUAUCUUAAAAAAAAUGCCAUUUUAAAUUGGCACUUUCUGUGGCUACCUAUAAUUUUUAGUUACUUCUUAGAACUUUUAAUCUCCACCCACACUUCUCUGGUAGCCACCAGUUGCAUAAAACCUUAGGGCUACUAAGAGUUUCUGCUCCACCGAUACCUUAUCCCUGUGUGUCGGGUGGUGUAUAUGAGGUCUCAAAACUUCGCACAGAUGCUGGA
RNAcentral lists this long non-coding RNA (2680 nucleotides) under Anthonomus grandis grandis. RNAcentral's name for it is "uncharacterized LOC126744652". The record is from RNAcentral. Lineage: Eukaryota; Metazoa; Arthropoda; Insecta; Coleoptera; Curculionidae.